GAUGAACGCUGGCGGCGUGCCUAAUACAUGCAAGUCGAGCGAACAGUUGAGAAGCUUGCUUCUCUGAUGUUAGCGGCGGACGGGUGAGUAACACGUGGGUAACCCACCUAUAAGACUGGGAUAACUCCGGGAAACCGGGGCUAAUACCGGAUAAUAUUUUGAACCGCAUGGUUCGAUAGUGAAAGACGGUUUCGGCUGUCACUUAUAGAUGGACCCGCGCCGUAUUAGCUAGUUGGUAAGGUAACGGCUUACCAAGGCGACGAUACGUAGCCGACCUGAGAGGGUGAUCGGCCACACUGGAACUGAGACACGGUCCAGACUCCUACGGAGGGCAGCAGUAGGGAAUCUUCCGCAAUGGGCGAAAGCCUGACGGAGCAACGCCGAGUGAGUGAUGAAGGUCUUCGGAUCGUAAAACUCUGUUGUUAGGGAAGAACAAAUUUGUUAGUAACUGAACAAGUCUUGACGGUACCUAACCAGAAAGCCACGGCUAACUACGUGCCAGCAGCCGCAUAA
Molecule: ribosomal RNA, 513 nt
Filed under: uncultured bacterium
Lineage: Bacteria
Description: partial 16S ribosomal RNA
Rfam family: Bacterial small subunit ribosomal RNA
Source: RNAcentral